GUGCCAGCCGCCGCGGUAAUACGGAGGGUGCAAGCGUUGUUCGGAAUUACUGGGCGUAAAGCGCGCGUAGGCGGUUUGCUCAGUCAGAUGUGAAAGCCCUCGGCUUAACCGGGGACGUGCAUUUGAAACUGGCAGACUUGAGUAUUGGAGGGGGUGGUGGAAUUCCCGGUGUAGAGGUGAAAUUCGUAGAUAUCGGGAGGAAUACCGGUGGCGAAGGCGACCACCUGGCCAAAUACUGACGCUGAGGUGCGAAAGCGUGGGGAGCAAACAGGAUUAGAAACCCCCGUAGUCC
This 292-nucleotide ribosomal RNA is filed under the name uncultured bacterium. RNAcentral's name for it is "partial 16S ribosomal RNA". It matches the Rfam family "Bacterial small subunit ribosomal RNA", at positions 505 to 796 of the family's 1533-position model. The record is from RNAcentral.